Molecule: ribosomal RNA, 908 nt
Filed under: Dothiora phaeosperma
Lineage: Eukaryota; Fungi; Ascomycota; Dothideomycetes; Dothideales; Dothioraceae
Description: eukaryotic LSU rRNA
Rfam family: Eukaryotic large subunit ribosomal RNA
Source: RNAcentral
AGCAUAUCAAUAAGCGGAGGAAAAGAAACCAACAGGGAUUGCCCUAGUAACGGCGAGUGAAGCGGCAAUAGCUCAAAUUUGAAAGCUGGCCUUCUGGUCCGCAUUGUAAUUUGUAGAGGAUGCUUUUAGGCAGCCGCCGGUCUAAGUUCCUUGGAACAGGACGUCAUAGAGGGUGAGAAUCCCGUAUGUGACCGGCUCUGGCACCUUAUGUAAAGCUCCUUCGACGAGUCGAGUUGUUUGGGAAUGCAGCUCUAAAUGGGAGGUAAAUUUCUUCUAAAGCUAAAUACUGGCGAGAGACCGAUAGCGCACAAGUAGAGUGAUCGAAAGAUGAAAAGCACUUUGGAAAGAGAGUUAAAAAGCACGUGAAAUUGUUGAAAGGGAAGCGCUUGCAAUCAGACUUGGACUUGGCUGUUCAACCGGUCUUCUGACCGGCCUACUCAGUCUUGUCCAGGCCAGCAUCAGUUUCGGCGGCCGGAUAAAGGCCCUGGGAAUGUAGCUGUCCCCUCGGGGACAGUGUUAUAGCCCAGGGUGUAAUACGGCCAGCCGGGACUGAGGUCCGCGCUUCGGCUAGGAUGCUGGCGUAAUGGUUGUAAGCGGCCCGUCUUGAAACACGGACCAAGGAGUCUAACAUCUAUGCGAGUGUUAGGGUGUCAAACCCUUACGCGUAAUGAAAGUGAACGGAGGUGGGAACCCGCAAGGGUGCACCAUCGACCGAUCCUGAUGUCUUCGGAUGGAUUUGAGUAAGAGCAUAGCUGUUGGGACCCGAAAGAUGGUGAACUAUGCCUGAAUAGGGUGAAGCCAGAGGAAACUCUGGUGGAGGCUCGCAGCGGUUCUGACGUGCAAAUCGAUCGUCAAAUUUGGGUAUAGGGGCGAAAGACUAAUCGAACCAUCUAGUAGCUGGUUCCUGC